Molecule: ribosomal RNA, 253 nt
Filed under: uncultured bacterium
Lineage: Bacteria
Description: partial 16S ribosomal RNA
Rfam family: Bacterial small subunit ribosomal RNA
Source: RNAcentral
GACGAACCGUGCGAACGUUGUUCGGAUUCACUGGGCUUAAAGGGCGCGUAGGCGGGUUUUCAAGUCUGGGGUGAAAUACUCUCGCUCAACGAGAGAACUGCCCCGGAUACUGGAGACCUCGAGGGAGGUAGGGGCAUGUGGAACUUCCGGUGGAGCGGUGAAAUGCGUAGAUAUCGGAAGGAACGCCGGUGGCGAAAGCGACGUGCUGGACCUCUUCUGACGCUGAGGCGCGAAAGCCAGGGGAGCAAACGGG